This 468-nucleotide ribosomal RNA is filed under the name uncultured bacterium. RNAcentral describes it as "partial 16S ribosomal RNA". It matches the Rfam family "Bacterial small subunit ribosomal RNA", at positions 28 to 507 of the family's 1533-position model. The record is from RNAcentral.
GACGAACGCUGACGGCGUGCUUAACACAUGCAAGUCGAACGGAAAGGCCCUGCUUUUGUGGGGUGCUCGAGUGGCGAACGGGUGAGUAACACGUGAGUAACCUGCCCUUGACUUUGGGAUAACUUCAGGAAACUGGGGCUAAUACCGGAUAGGAGCUCCUGCUGCAUGGUGGGGGUUGGAAAGUUUCGGCGGUUGGGGAUGGACUCGCGGCUUAUCAGCUUGUUGGUGGGGUAGUGGCUUACCAAGGCUUUGACGGGUAGCCGGCCUGAGAGGGUGACCGGCCACCAUGGGACUGAGGUACGGCCCAGAAUCCAACGGGAGGCAGCAGUGGGGAAUAUUGCACAAUGGGGGGAAGCCUGAUGCAACAACGCCGGGUGCGGGAUGACGGCCUUCGGGUUGUAAACCGCUUUCGCCUGUGACGAAGCGUGAGUGACGGUAAUGGGUAAAGAAGCACCGGCUAACUACGUG